GAGUUGCCUACAUAUCCUUGGCUAUAAAGGAAUCAUGCCACGUGUAGUUCAGAGGUGAGUGAGGUGAUGGAGUAUACCGAGGUGGAGAGCCGAUUGAGGUGCCGUCGAGGUUCCGAUUUGCAGUCCCGUUAUUACAUCAAAAUCAAAAAUGAAAAAGAUUAUCUAAGCCUAUCAGCUACGAGUUACAAGAUUCCUAUCUAUGAGUCUUCUGAAGCUUGAUCUUGAGUCUUGGUUGGUUCUUCAUGCGGACUCUGAUAUGAAUCUUGAUGCUUGUUAGCUGUAGGUGUUGGUUCUAUGUUUUUCAGCUUUUUCAGAUCAAGACGGGACAUGCAAAGCUUGUGACUUCAAUCACGUCUUGAGUAGUCCACAUCUUUCUCCGCUUCUGCACUCUGGAUUCACUUAUUUUUUUCUUCUUCUUCUUUUUUUUGGAUUGAGACUACUUAUGUUGAUCAUCUCGAAUUGUUGACUCGCAUUCUUGCCACGAGCUUCUACUACUUCUAACUUGAAUUGAAUUCUGAAAUAACUUCCCUUGUUCUCCAGGUGGGCGCCUAAUUGUUAAAACUUGAACUGACUUCCGUUGAAACUUGAACUGCUUUCCCUUGAAACUCGAACUGUUUUCCUUUGAAGCUUGAAUUGUCUUCCUUAGAAACUGUGUUUCCUUGAAACUUGAACUGUCUUUUUCUUGUUCUCCAGAUGGGCGCCUGCUGCUGAACUUGACCUGUCUUCCUUCGAAACUUGAGCCGUUUUCCCUUGUUCUCCAACUGGGCGCCUGAUUGCAGAAACUUUCUGUGUUCCCUUGUUUUCCAUGUGGGUGCCUGCAAUCAAAACCAACAAAACAAACGAAAUUUUCUACCCCAGUUUGCACUAGGAAGAUUUGUGAGUUGUUAGCAAUAUUGUAAACCACUUAUACUAUUGAUGCAAUGAUAAGAGUAAACUAAAGACUAGACUAGGAUGUGUGUCUCCUAAAAGUGAUUGAGCUUGCGGAAAACUGUAAACUAUGUUUGACUAAAGUAAAGACUAACCCUAUUCUCCAGGCGGGACCCCUGAUUUCAAGAAAACUAAACAUUGAUUACUUAAGAAAAC
This 1083-nucleotide long non-coding RNA is filed under the name Nicotiana tabacum (common tobacco). Its description in RNAcentral is "long non-coding RNA (NTAB_LNC001261)". Lineage: Eukaryota; Viridiplantae; Streptophyta; Magnoliopsida; Solanales; Solanaceae. The record is from RNAcentral.